Molecule: ribosomal RNA, 468 nt
Filed under: uncultured bacterium
Lineage: Bacteria
Description: partial 16S ribosomal RNA
Rfam family: Bacterial small subunit ribosomal RNA
Source: RNAcentral
GACGGACGCUGGCGGCGUGCUUAACACAUGCAAGUCGAACGGAAAGGCCCUGCUUUUGUGGGGUGCUCGAGUGGCGAACGGGUGAGUAACACGUGAGUAACCUGCCCUUGACUUUGGGAUAACUUCAGGAAACUGGGGCUAAUACCGGAUAGGAGCUCCUGCUGCAUGGUGGGGGUUGGAAAGUUUCGGCGGUUGGGGAUGGACUCGCGGCUUAUCAGCUUGUUGGUGGGGUAGUGGCUUACCAAGGCUUUGACGGGUAGCCGGCCUGAGAGGGUGACCGGCCAAAUGGGGGCAGAGAGAGGCCCCGACCUCUUGGGGAGGACAGCAGGGGGAAAUAUUGCAGAGGGGGGGGAGCCCGGAGGAAGAACCGCCGCGGGGGGGAUGAGGCCCUGGGGUUUGAAAACCGCUUGCGCCUGUGAAGAAGGGUGGGGAGGGAAAAGGGAAAGAGAGACACGGACAAAGUAGGGG